Long non-coding RNA from Etheostoma spectabile (orangethroat darter), 321 nucleotides. RefSeq lists it as uncharacterized. The transcript has 3 exons. The record is from RefSeq and is a predicted model, not a curated record. NCBI's taxonomy places the organism in Eukaryota, Metazoa, Chordata, Actinopteri, Perciformes, Percidae.
CAGCCUCCUGCUCUCUCUUCUGCCUCCUCUCAGCCUCCUGCUCUCUCUUCAGCCUCCUUUCAGCCUCCUGCUCUCUCUUCUGCCUCAUCUCAGCCUCCUCCACACACAUCGGUCUAUGAUUCAUCUCCCUUUAUGCAGCCAGGAGCAGGUGUCACAAGACGACAACAAGCUAUUAAACUUAAAAUGAAAGAAUGCAGAAAACACCGUCUACAAAAGAUAUUCCCUUAUGAAUGCAUCGUUGAUAGAAGACUUGUUAAUUGGCAAAGUGUGGGACGACACCUGGGAGCCAGCCAAAGACUAUUCAUAGAAGAAGCAGUGUUC